GCCUUAUCAAGAGUGGUGGAGGAAACAGGUCCUGUGAAGCCCAGCAACCUAGCGUUAGUUAAGGUGCUAAAUCCUGCGGUUAUUUCCGAAAGAUGAGGA
Molecule: regulatory RNA element, 99 nt
Organism: Ruminococcus sp. CAG:57
Lineage: Bacteria; Bacillati; Bacillota; Clostridia; Eubacteriales; Oscillospiraceae
Rfam family: SAM riboswitch aptamer (S box leader)
About the family: The SAM riboswitch is found upstream of a number of genes which code for proteins involved in methionine or cysteine biosynthesis in Gram-positive bacteria. The SAM riboswitch acts at the level of transcription termination control. The predicted structure consists of a complex stem-loop region followed by a single stem loop terminator region.
Source: Rfam